GCCGAGGUAGCUCAGCUGGUAGAGCAACUGUUUUGUAAACAGUAGGUCGUGGGUUCGAAUCCCUCCCUCGGCU
RNAcentral lists this transfer RNA (73 nucleotides) under Parcubacteria group bacterium. Its description in RNAcentral is "tRNA-Thr". It matches the Rfam family "tRNA". From Rfam's summary of the family: Transfer RNA (tRNA) molecules are approximately 80 nucleotides in length. Their secondary structure includes four short double-helical elements and three loops (D, anti-codon, and T loops). The record is from RNAcentral.